Molecule: long non-coding RNA, 3708 nt
Filed under: Sus scrofa (pig)
Lineage: Eukaryota; Metazoa; Chordata; Mammalia; Artiodactyla; Suidae
Description: lncRNA (ENSSSCG00060075262.1)
Source: RNAcentral
AAGAGAGGAGAAGAAAGAGAAACCAGGGGGGCGAGGCGCCGUCCAAUGACAAAGCCCAGGGGAGAGCUGCCCUGCCAAGCCCGCGGCGCCCGGGCCCUGCUUCGGGGGCCGCACCCUGGAGGAGAUCUGGAGGGCGGCCACCCCGACGCUGACCACCUUUCCCACCAUUCGCGUCGGCGGCGACGUGUGGGGCGAGCGCAGCCUGGCGGCGGCGCGGCGCCGGGCAAGCCAAGUCCUGCGAGUGAACCUGGAACCCGUGGUGAGGCUCCGCCGCUUCCCCGUGCCCCGGGCGUGAAACGCGGCCCGCGACGGCUUCCCGGCCAGGGACGGGGCUUCCGCCUGGAGGGAUGGACAAGUGUCAGUCGAGUGUUUACAGAUCCGGCCAGGACCCCGUCCCCUCGUGCACUUUACGGGCAAAGAAGUCACCGGAUGCUUUUCCCGGCCUCGCGGCGCCGCCGUCUGGGGCUCAGGGACAGGUGUGCCCUCCGCUGCCUCCUGGCGCCCGGGCUGCGGAGGAGGAGACAGCCGGACCCGCAGGGGAGGGCCCUAUGCUUCCUUACCCCGGACUGAGACAUCUCCAGGACUGGAGGGGCAGAUCCGUUUUCUCCCUUUGGACUCUACCUCACUGGUCUGGAAGUUCUCUGAAGAAGUCGUUAUUUUUCCAAAGGAAUUUGGUUUCGUGUUUGUGUAAUAAAGCCAGAAUCUACUUGCUUUCCCCCCAAAUCCUCCCCCCACCCCAUUUUUCUUUGCAACUGCCACCCCUCUUUCUGGACGAAAGAUUGAACCUGUUUUGUACUCAGGGUAUUCUGAAUCCCAUUCGUUUCCUAAUUUUAACCGGAUUCCAAAGCUCUGACCAAGGAUAUUUUUCUAAGAGAUUCAAGCUUAUGACUGUAAUAGUGCAAGGAUUUGUAUGCUUUGAAUUCCAUGGGCUCAGUGAUUACAAACAAAGAGAUGCAAAGUACAACUGUUUGAACAUUUUUGAGGUGUUCCUAAAGAUUUUAUAUUGAAAUUUAAUGUUUAUAUUUACUGAGCUCCUAAAUAAAAUGGUAUAAACUCAUAUGAAGUUCUGUUUAGGAAAAGCUGACUUGUUAAGAUUCUUUUUAAUUAAAUAAAAAUUAAAGUGCAUUGAAACCACAUGGCUUGUGAUAAAGAAAAAUUAGUUACAAAGAACUGGUGUUGGUUAAAGAGAUGGAUGGAAUCCUAUUGGAAAUGAUUUGGCUUCAUUGUACUGGUCUAACAUACAAAUCCAGGAAUAGUUGAAGGAUAACCUAUUUUAAAUUGCAAAUAGCAGAGAAGAAAUAAAUGUGUUCAAACUUUGUGAUUAAAAUGAUAAACAGAAUACCCAUUAGAAUUCUCAGAACUAUUAGUCAUCUAGAGGGGUGGGGGCAUUUCUUGGUAUCAAAUAACUGGUUGAAGUUACUUUGGGCAAAAUAGAUCUCUUUCUUUACUUUCUGUUGUUGGAUAGCAAGAAAUGCCCAGAAUAAUAUCCAUUAUUCUUAUAAACAUUAUGACAAUUAGUUGACUUUUGCUCCGUGAGUUAACUUUUUAAAAAAUCUUAAUUCCAUUUGUAAUUAUGUUUGUAGUUACCGGUCUUUGUUGACAGCUGAAGACCACAGGAAUCGUUGAUCAGGCGAGUCACACAGUACUGACCCUUCUUUUACACUUUUAUAAUAGCAUUUAUACCAUAUGGCCCAGUGUGGAAUUCUUGAUUAUCCAAGUGCCUUUGGUCAUUGGUGGCAGCAAGACUUAAUGGUUUUUAGCCAGUGGUGCCACAGCCAGAUUUUACUGCAAUAUCUAAAGGGUCAAGUAGUGUUUUGUACCACUAUUUUUCAAAUUUAAGUAUUCUGCCAUGGAAUGAUUCAUACUGGCUAGAACUUGACAUACGAUAUCCUUAAUAUUAAGGCUUAUCUCUGCUUGGCAGCUUCUUAGGAGAAUUAUUUUAAUAAGAGUUGCAAUUUUGACUCUUGCGAUCUUAGAAUUCAAAUGCUAUUGCUUUCUGAAUUGAAAAUUUCAACUUUAAUAGUCCAUAAGUAGGAGUUUUGUGACUUUAAUUUCAGUGUACUUGUUUUGUAAAGAAAAAAAAUUAUAUAUAUAAUAUGACUUUAUGCCAGUUUCCCAGUAUGCCUCGUAUUCUUUUAUUCACUACUCAAUGAAAAUGCAUUGUUACCGACACUGUCACACGAAUAAAUAAAAGUGGAUAAUUACUUAGAUGAUGAAGAGUGUUAAAUUAUAUCUUUGUGAAAGGAAGCUUAUAUAUAUUCUUUUGGUUAUUAGCUUCCAUUGCCAAUCGUAUUUCAGAUACAGUAGAGUUUUCUCCUCCCUCCCCCUGCUACUGAAUUGUUACCAUUUUUUUAGCAAACUAGCCCCUGAGGAAAAAAAUAUGUAUUUGUACCACUCACUAUUGUAUAUAGUUUUAUAAUAAAUUCAAUGGCCAUAUUAGAAUGUGAUUUCAACAUAUAGCUUAUCUAGAUAAUUUCACAGAGGAUUUUGAAAUUAGACCUAGCUGGGAGGAUAACUUUGCUCAGCACAAAACUGAAACAACUAUUGACACCAUGCAUUUUAACUGAGAUUCUUAACAUUUUUUCCUCAUGCCUUGUUACUUUAGUGCUCUUGAACUAGCAUAAAUGCUUCUUUGGAUUGUCUGGGCUAUCUGAUUUCAGUUUGGGUUGGAUUGCCCAUCUUGAAUUCAAUAUAUUAUUUAUCUGGUUUAUUUAAAAAUCAUGCCAUUUCUAGUUUGUGAAAUGAGAUGUAAAAAAAACUUUUAUUUUUGCCAAGUGUUCUUUAGCCAAACGUAUGUUACAUCUUCUAAAAUGUGAAGAAACAACUAAUAUAGGUGGUUGGUGUGUUAAUAGGAAAGUGAAAGUAUUCAUGGGUACAUUGGGCAGAAUGUGGAAAGGAACUUGGCAAGGUGGCCUUUCUGGUGAGGCAUCCAUUUCCUGUCCUCUAAAGUAAGUCUGUAGCUUAGCUUGUAUAUAGUUUUUUAAAAGACAUCCCAUGAUCUUUAUUCACUCUCUUAUAAGAUUAUCUUCUAUCUCGUAUGGCACAAAUAGGGAAGCUAGGAGGAAGUUUAUCACCUCACUAUGCUUUUAUUUAAUUUUUAACUCUUGAGUGCCUAAAUAUGGUGACUGGCACCUCAGCUAACUUUUUGAGAUUCCUGAUGUCAUUUUUAUCCUCCUUCCUGUCAACCAGCAACUUAUUUUUCCAUGCUGAAAUCAGUAAUGUCAUGAUUGUUGAGGGUAAGCUUUGUUGUUGAUAGUGCAAAGUGUUGCUGUUGUGGUGUGUAUUUAUUUUGUCAAAGUUUGAGUCCCCUGUUGGACACGUGUAACUAAGCUGGUGGCUGACACCUAUUGAUUUGCUACUUGCAAAUGAUACUACUAUUUUUCUGAAAACUCAUUCAGUUAAAAAAACAUCAAAAAUAUUUGAAUACAAAAAAAUGAGGUUUUGAAUUCAAAACUUUGUUGUUUUAAGGGUUGCCACAGCACUCUUUAAAUUGGUGGGUUUUGGUGGACAUAUAUACAUAAUAUUUACUUUAUUGGUGUGUUUGAAAUAUUUUUUGAUAGACUGUUAUGUCUUAAGUGCAUUUGAAGGCAAUUGUUUGUAAUGGAACCGAAUUGUUUCCUUGGACAGUUUGAUGUGCAUAUGAUUAAGAUUUAUAAUCUGGUUGUACUUUGCUUUUUAAUUUAUUAACUGUAAAUAAAUUUUAGAGAA